This is a non-coding RNA of Pelobates cultripes (western spadefoot toad), 205 nucleotides long. The record is from the annotation of a GenBank genome assembly. Lineage: Eukaryota; Metazoa; Chordata; Amphibia; Anura; Pelobatidae.
UAGAAAGUAACCUAAUGGUAGAAUGUUAAAGCGGUACUGUCAUUCCCCCCCUCAAAAUUUGUGAAAUACUUACAUUGACUGUGUUGGAAUUUCAAUAAAAUUCCAACCCAGCCAAAAGAUAUCUGAAGCGUUAAAACCUGGGGGACCUGGCACCCAGACCACUUCGUUGAGCUGAAGUGGUCUGGGUGACUAUAGUGUCCCUUUA